UUUGCAUUGUAAAACAUUUUUGUCAAUAACUCAUCUUUUUGUAGAUGAGGUAAAAUUGUGGAUUUAUCAAAAGCUAAGAAACAAAAGCAUGUAAAUAUGAACAAAUACAUCAUAAUUACUUUGUGCUUUGUAGCAGCUUCUUAAAUUCACAAAUGAAAAAUCAAGUUUUUUAGCAAUGCUCCAACUAUUUUGGAUAGCAGUGGAUUAAUCAGCAAGAUGGAGUCUUGGGCAUCCUUAGUUUUAAUUCCAUCAUAAAGGUUUAAUUGAUCUGGCUUUCCUGAACAACGGUUUACAGUAAAAUACCAUACCACUUAAUUUCUGAAGCACUUAAGAAAAACAUAGUUGACCAAAAUGCUGUACAAAAAAUAUAUGAGAGAGAACAGGAGUAAAACAAAAUCCCCUCUAAGUUAAUACAUAGGAGCUAUACAAAUGUUAAAAUAGCACAGGUACAUACAAUGGGUAAAAGAUUAGGACACAGAUGACAACUCACACUGGGGUAAAAGCUGGUGAGAAAAAGUGUGUUUUAAAAUGUGUUUUAAAAACAGCACGGGCUGGAGUCUACCUGGCCUGUAGCAGCAGCUCAUUGCAUAUUUUAAGAGCCAAAAACUCCUCUAGAUUUAUAAAAUGUCUUUGGGACAGUCAAAAGCUUUGUGUCAGCCCAUCUAAAAGCACACAUUGGCGUGUAAUGUGUAGCAGCUCAGAGAAAUAGGAAGGGGCAAGACCAAUCAGUGUUGGGGUCUGGGAGCUUCUGUUUGUUUUGGCUGCUAUUAACUCUGUUUGGACACUAUAGGUCACCGGAGCCGCGGUGUGGAGGAGCACAGGUGCAGCACAUUAUCUCAUCUCCAGUGCUGUAUAAAGGCAGCAGACUGUCAGCACUUCAACGCCUGAGUGUUUGCCUUCAUGGUUAUCUCCAAUCCCCGGUUCAAGCCCUCAAGCUUCUCCUGAUGAUUCAAGUUUCCAAAUCUUCAAGUUUCCAUUGUCGACUCAAGCUCCAGCAGACAGCCUCAAGCCUCUUUGGACUCACUGGUUUCCGGAACCGAACCUUGCUCUCCCUUCGAUGUCCACACCACCCACCAAGUUCCUCCUCCGGCAAACCACCAUUAAGGGUCACAAUACUGUACCACUAACUUCACUACUGGCAAUCCCUCAACCUCAGAGGAACAAACUCCCACAGCUGACUACACUCAUCAUUCAGCGCCUCAUCCAGGCUCCCGGAUUCCAACCGUUUACCCUCCGUCCCGGACUGAACUCCUUCACCUACCAGCAAGCAAAUCAGCCUUACUAAAUAAUAUCUUCUCACUUGAUAAAAGCAUGGAUCAGUGUCUCUAGGUGGUAUCUAGACAGGAGGGGCUUAAUUUUUAACAGCCAGCUCAACUUAAAGAAUGAGGACUCAACCAUGGUGUUGACAUGUGAGCCGGGUUUUAUGCUGGGGUUCUAAUUCACAUCUAAAUUAGUGAUGCUGGAUUUUUCAUACAAUACCAAAGGGGAAACGUCAAAAGAAGGUUUACAGCUGGAGUCACUGAAUUUAAAAAGCAUGACGUCACCUGUUUUUACAUUAGAAUUAAGUAAAUUUAGUGCCAUCCAUCUCCUGAUGUCAACAAGCCAAUCAAAGAGAUUUUACAGGGAAAUAGACUUGACAUUCAUUAGCAUAUAAAUUAAAUGGCAAAAAAUAACAUGUGGCAGCAAAUAAA
This is a long non-coding RNA of Girardinichthys multiradiatus, 1691 nucleotides long. RefSeq lists it as uncharacterized. The record is from RefSeq and is a predicted model, not a curated record. NCBI's taxonomy places the organism in Eukaryota, Metazoa, Chordata, Actinopteri, Cyprinodontiformes, Goodeidae. The transcript has 2 exons.